UUCUGGUGAUUGGUCACAGCUGAUGUGGUGGAAUAAAGGGACUCAUGGCCAUUGAAGAUGAUACAGCUCCCACUAAGACGUAUUUAUCUCUAAUGCUUAUUUAAGAAACCAUGAGUUUCUUGGCGACUAGUUCACUAACUUUUAUUGAAAUUCUUGAAAUGGCAGGGACUUCAUCGAAAACUGGAUCCAGAUUUGUGCACCGGCCAAAAACAGGAUCAAGCAGGAAUGUAAAGACCUAAGCUUUGAAGAUCAGUGCACCAACUGCGAGAAGGAAGCCGUGAACGUGUCCUUGGGGAAUCUCUUGUCUUACCCAUUCGUGAGAGAAAGAGUGGUGAAGAACAAACUUGCCAUAAGAGGAGCUCACUACGAUUUCGUGAAAGGAACAUUUGAUCUCUGGGAACUCGACUUCAAGACCAUCCCUGUCUUUGCCUUGUCUUAAAAAAUUCCUCCUCAAUCUUUUCUCUAUGUUUCUUCCAAGUGUGUUCUCCUAAUCUUUUUGUAACUUCAUCUUUGCUACUUCUGUUUCAAAAUAAAUGAAUAAGGCUUCUAAAGAGCACUCUUUUAUUUCCAUCCUCAUUGAUACAUAGAGAAUAUAACACUUUUGACACUUUCUUAGCUUAUACACAU
Non-coding RNA from Camelina sativa (false flax), 627 nucleotides. The record is from RefSeq and is a predicted model, not a curated record. Lineage: Eukaryota; Viridiplantae; Streptophyta; Magnoliopsida; Brassicales; Brassicaceae.